CGAUGGCAAAGAAGCCAAAGCAGUGGGCUUAAUCAGCCACGUUCUGGAACAGAACCAGGAGGGAGACGCGGCCUACAGGAAGGCCUUGGACCUGGCGAGAGAGUUUUUACCUCAGGGACCUGUUGCAAUGAGAGUGGCAAAAUUAGCAAUUAAUCAAGGGAUGGAGACCAUUCCAACAAAAGACAGACUUGAAGGUCUUCUUGCUUUUAAAGAGAAAAGGCCCCCUCGCUAUAAAGGAGAAUAAAAGGAACAGAAAUUCUUAAGAUGCCAAUGUAAUAAAUGUACUUCCUGGAAGUGUCUUUCGGAUCCACUAUAUGCCUCAGCACAUGGAACCUUAAUGACCAAAGUGAAGAGCAGAUUAUUCAUACGGUGUAAUAAGCAUCUGGAAUGGACCCAUCCGUGUACUUCAUUCAAAUGUGUAAAUGUCAUAUUCAUUCAGAUUUAUAAAGCUAGUAGUGUAUAGUCAGAAACAGAAUCAAAGUUAGAUAUACAUUUUUAAAUAUUUACUGCAUAUGAGGCUUUCUGUUAAUUUUUUAAUGUGAAUAAUUUAUAUAUUGCACAUUCUAGGGAAUAAUAUUGAUUGUAUGUCUACUGUGCUGCAUUAAGAAAAUAAAAUUUCUAUAUACCAAAAA
RNAcentral lists this long non-coding RNA (632 nucleotides) under Homo sapiens (human). Its description in RNAcentral is "non-protein coding lnc-NFIL3-4:1". Lineage: Eukaryota; Metazoa; Chordata; Mammalia; Primates; Hominidae. The record is from RNAcentral.